GACGAACGCUGGCGGCGCGCUUAACACAUGCAAGUCGAACGCGGGGGCUUCGGCUCUCGAGUGGCGAACGGGUGCGUAACACGUGAGCAACCUGCCCUCGUGCGGGGGAUAACCAGGGGA
RNAcentral lists this ribosomal RNA (120 nucleotides) under uncultured bacterium. RNAcentral's name for it is "partial 16S ribosomal RNA". It matches the Rfam family "Bacterial small subunit ribosomal RNA", at positions 28 to 154 of the family's 1533-position model. The record is from RNAcentral.